UACGUAGGGGGCAAGCGUUGUCCGGAUUUAUUGGGCGUAAAGAGCGUGUAGGCGGCUAGGUAGGUCCGUUGUGAAAACUCGAGGCUCAACCUCGAGACGUCGAUGGAAACCAUCUAGCUAGAGUCCGGAAGAGGAGAGUGGAAUUCCUGGUGUAGCGGUGAAAUGUGCAGAUAUCAGGAAGAACACCCGUGGCGAAGGCGGCUCUCUGGUACGUGACUGACGCUGAGACGCGAAAGCGUGGGGAGCGAACAGG
Molecule: ribosomal RNA, 253 nt
Filed under: uncultured bacterium
Lineage: Bacteria
Description: partial 16S ribosomal RNA
Rfam family: Bacterial small subunit ribosomal RNA
Source: RNAcentral